This 551-nucleotide ribosomal RNA is filed under the name Acclivilamna vicina. RNAcentral describes it as "partial large subunit ribosomal RNA". It matches the Rfam family "Archaeal large subunit ribosomal RNA", at positions 1888 to 2686 of the family's 2987-position model. The record is from RNAcentral. Lineage: Eukaryota; Metazoa; Arthropoda; Insecta; Hemiptera; Pentatomidae.
UCGCCCUGUUUUUAAAAAACAUGUCUUUUUGUUGAUUAAUAUUAAGUCCAACCUGCUCAAUGAUUAGAUUAAAUGGCCGCAGUAUAUUGACUGUGCAAAGGUAGCAUAAUAAAUUGUCUUUUAAUUGGAGGCUAGAAUGAAAGGUUAGAUGAAGGAAUAACUUUCUUUGUAAUUUUUAUUGAAUUUAAUAUUUUAGUUAAAAAGCUGAAAUGAAUAAAGGUGACGAGAAGACCCUAUAGAAUUUUAUUAUUAUCAGUAAAUCUUUUGAUUUUAGUUAUUUAUUCAUUAAUUAUGGAUAUUAAUUUGGUUGGGGUGACAGGGAGAUUAUAUUAACUCUCUUAAUAUUUUUUUAUUAAUUAAUAACUUAAAAAUCCUUUAAUAUGGAAAUUAGUUUAAAUUACCUUAGGGAUAACAGCGUAAUUUUCUUGAAGAGUUCUUAUCGAUAAGGAAGUUUGCGACCUCGAUGUUGGAUUAAAAUAAGUAUUAUGUGCAGAAGCUUAUAUAACUAGGUCUGUUCGACCUUUAAAUUUUUACAUGAUCUAAUUUCCACC